RNAcentral lists this unclassified non-coding RNA (640 nucleotides) under Hevea brasiliensis (rubber tree). Lineage: Eukaryota; Viridiplantae; Streptophyta; Magnoliopsida; Malpighiales; Euphorbiaceae. The record is from RNAcentral.
UAUGUUAUUAGUUUGGUGGUCAUUGAAUUUUUCUUGUUUAAGGCUUAUUUGUUUUGCAAACAAAAAAAAAUGGUCUAUGGAAAAUUUUCUUAUUGGAAAACAUUCUUUGAGAAACUGAAUUAUUUACCUUUAUAUGGCUAUAAUGCUGAAAAUCUUUUUUUUGUUUUUAUUUGGGCAGUUUGAGCACACAAGAAGAACUUUAAUUAUGUUUCAGCAAAGAAAAUGACAAAAAAAUUUGGUUCUAGGAGAAUUUAAUAUUUUUCUCACUUGAUGUUUUUUUCACUUGAGUAGAAGAGAAAAUUUUAAAAAGAAGAAGAAGAAUUAAAAGUGCGAAUUGUGAUAGUUGUGGCGAUACGUGUUGAUUUCUGUUAAUAACUUUACCCCUUUUCAUGAGACUGUGGAAGUUUGGAUAAUGACUUUCCAUUUAAAACAGGAAGUUAUUUUAUUUGAAAACUGCUAAUUUUCCCAUGUACUAUGAGUACCAAAUACUGGAAAAUGAGGGAAAUGUGUUUCCAGACUUUUUUUAGCUAUCUGCCAAAUGUUGUUUUGUUCCAUGGUGCAUUUGCUAAUACUCUUUAAGGAUGGAUAUUUGUUCUUCCUUUUUUCUCUCCUCCCCAAGGGAUGGAAGCAUUUGCUGAUA